UACGUAGGUAGCAAGCGUUAUUCGGAUUUACUGGGCGUAAAGGGUCCGCAGGGGGCCUGCCAAGUCUGAUGUGAAAUACCACGGCUCAACUGUGGAACGGCAUUGGAAACUGGCGGGCUAGAGUGCAUGAGGGGUGAGCAGAAUUCCUGGUGUAGCGGUGGAAUGCGUAGAUAUCAGGAGGAAUACCGAUGGCGAAGGCGGCUCACUGGCAUGCAACUGACCCUCAGGGACGAAAGCGUGGGUAGCAAACAGGAUUAGAUACCCUGGUAGUCCACGCUGUAAACGGUGUACACUAGAUGUGGGUGGUCCUUUUGGUCCCAUCCGUGUCCAAGCUAACGCGUUAAGUGUACCGCCUGGGGACUACGGCCGCAAGGUUA
This 377-nucleotide ribosomal RNA is filed under the name uncultured prokaryote. RNAcentral's name for it is "bacterial SSU rRNA". It matches the Rfam family "Bacterial small subunit ribosomal RNA", at positions 524 to 896 of the family's 1533-position model. The record is from RNAcentral.